CUAUUUUUCCGCGCUUCCCCUGUCCGUUUUCUGCCUUCUUUCUUCUUCGUAGUGGUUUCUUUUAAUGUCUUCUAUUUAUGGGACGCUGUAAGUAUUUUCACCUUCCGUCUGGCCUCGAUCCCAGGACCUCUGCCUCCAUAGGAGACUCCCAUACGCACUCUGCUAACUUGUCAAUCUACCAGUAACCGUUCGGAGGUUGUAUUUGUUUCGUCGAAGUGGACGCGCAUGCGCGGUGUUUCUCUUGGGUUUGGUCGGUCACUGCGCGUGCGCAAAAACUUUGUUCGAGUGCCUGACGUAGUCGGUCUCGACGUUGCAGCCGUGCGCGAGCGCGCCGCGCUCUUGCCUGGUCGCGCCGUCGUUCGCCGCCCGCGCGGGCGCUCCCUGUGUAAUGUCUAUAGGAUCGCUUGCCUUCCUAGCGAGCCUAUCUUGGCCGCGUUGCUUCCGGCCCGUUCCUUUGCGCCGUGUUUUCGCCCGCUCGCGCGGGUUGCCGGCUCGCUU
Molecule: long non-coding RNA, 498 nt
Filed under: Androctonus crassicauda
Lineage: Eukaryota; Metazoa; Arthropoda; Arachnida; Scorpiones; Buthidae
Source: RNAcentral